Non-coding RNA from Mycena crocata, 88 nucleotides. NCBI's taxonomy places the organism in Eukaryota, Fungi, Basidiomycota, Agaricomycetes, Agaricales, Mycenaceae. The record is from the annotation of a GenBank genome assembly.
UCCGAGAUGGUGUAAUGGUAACAUUACCGCCUCUCAUUAUACCCGUCCGAGUCCGCGGUAGCCCGGGGUUCGAUUCCCCGUUUCGGAA